CAGGUUCGGAAUGAGAAAGCAAGAAGGUACUUGAGCAGCAUGAGAAAGAAAGACCCAGUUCCAUUUUCUCAUAAGAUUCACAAUGCAGAUCUUUUGGCACUUCAACUAUUGGAAAAGCUAUUAGCGUUUGACCCAAAGGACGUUCAACUGCAGAAGAGGCAUUGCGUGAUCCAUACUUCAAAGGUCUUGCCAGGGUUGAAAGAGAGCCAUCCUGUCAGCCAAUCAAAAAGGUGGAAUUUGACUUUGAGCACAAAAGAAUGUCAAAGGAAGAGAUAAGGGAGUUGAUAUUCUGUAGAAACUGGAAUAUCACCCGCAAUUGCUGAAUAGCUACAUGAACGACACAGAGAGGACAACCUUUCUCUACCCAAGUGAUGUUGAGCAGUUUUCUGAUCUUGAAGAAAUGUGAUGCUGAAUCCCACAAGACAGCAGCAGGCUGCUACCGCAUCUGGAAAAAAAAGGGUGAUGGUUUGUCCCAAAAAAAGAGGCCCCUCGAAGCUAUCCACUGCUAGCUGAAAUGCUUCUCGAUUCGUGAUCCUCUUUCUUAUUUGGUGAUGGGAUUCUGCUGGUCAACUGGAUUAGAUAAGUGGUUUCAUGUUUUUUUACUUUAAUUUGGAGCAAUCACUUGAAACAAUCUGUAUCUUCGGAUUAAUUAUGUCUGGUUGAACAGGUAUUGCUUUUCCUUCAAUCCAGGCAGUUUCACAA
Panicum virgatum (switchgrass) is the source of this 702-nucleotide long non-coding RNA. RefSeq lists it as uncharacterized. The record is from RefSeq and is a predicted model, not a curated record. Lineage: Eukaryota; Viridiplantae; Streptophyta; Magnoliopsida; Poales; Poaceae. The transcript has 4 exons.